This 626-nucleotide ribosomal RNA is filed under the name uncultured bacterium. RNAcentral's name for it is "bacterial SSU rRNA". It matches the Rfam family "Bacterial small subunit ribosomal RNA", at positions 83 to 705 of the family's 1533-position model. The record is from RNAcentral.
ACCUGGCGGCGAGUGGCGAACGGGUGAGUAAUAUAUCGGAACGUACCCUGGAGUGGGGGAUAACGUAGCGAAAGUUACGCUAAUACCGCAUACGAUCUAAGGAUGAAAGUGGGGGAUCGCAAGACCUCAUGCUCCUGGAGCGGCCGAUAUCUGAUUAGCUAGUUGGUGGGGUAAAGGCCUACCAAGGCAUCGAUCAGUAGCUGGUCUGAGAGGACGACCAGCCACACUGGAACUGAGACACGGUCCAGACUCCUACGGGAGGCAGCAGUGGGGAAUUUUGGACAAUGGGCGAAAGCCUGAUCCAGCAAUGCCGCGUGAGUGAAGAAGGCCUUCGGGUUGUAAAGCUCUUUUGUCAGGGAAGAAACGGUGGGUUCUAAUACAGCCUGCUAAUGACGGUACCUGAAGAAUAAGCACCGGCUAACUACGUGCCAGCAGCCGCGGUAAUACGUAGGGUGCAAGCGUUAAUCGGAAUUACUGGGCGUAAAGCGUGCGCAGGCGGUUUUGUAAGUCUGUCGUGAAAUCCCCGGGCUCAACCUGGGAAUGGCGAUGGAGACUGCAAGGCUAGAGUUUGGCAGAGGGGGGUAGAAUUCCACGUGUAGCAGUGAAAUGCGUAGAUAUGUGGAGGA